RNAcentral lists this ribosomal RNA (744 nucleotides) under uncultured bacterium. RNAcentral describes it as "bacterial SSU rRNA". It matches the Rfam family "Bacterial small subunit ribosomal RNA", at positions 1 to 749 of the family's 1533-position model. The record is from RNAcentral.
AAUUCGAUUGAGUUUGAUCAUGGCUCAGGACGAACGCUGGCGGCGUGCUUAACACAUGCAAGUCGAGCGGAAAGGCCCUUUUGGGGGUACUCGAGCGGCGAACGGGUGAGUAACACGUGAGUAAUCUGCCCUUCACUCUGGGAUAACUGCCUGAAAGGGUGGCUAAUACCGGAUAUUCUCUGCGCAUCGCAUGGUGUGUGGUGGGAAGAUUUUUUGGUGGGGGAUGUGCUCGCGGCCUAUCAGCUUGUUGGUGGGGUAAUGGCCUACCAAGGCUUUGACGGGUAGCCGGCCUGAGAGGGUGACCGGCCACACUGGGACUGAGACACGGCCCAGACUCCUACGGGAGGCAGCAGUGGGGAAUAUUGGACAAUGGGCGGAAGCCUGAUCCAGCAACGCCGCGUGAGGGAUGACGGCCUUCGGGUUGUAAACCUCUUUCAGCACAGACGAAGCGCCCUGUCGGGUGGUGACGGUAUGUGCAGAAGAAGCACCGGCCAACUACGUGCCAGCAGCCGCGGUAAUACGUAGGGUGCGAGCGUUGUCCGGAAUUAUUGGGCGUAAAGGGCUCGUAGGCGGUUUGUCGCGUCGGGAGUGAAAUCCACUGGCUUAACUGGUGGCUUGCUUUCGAUACGGGCAGACUGGAGGUAUGCAGGGGAGAACGGAAUUCCUGGUGUAGCGGUGAAAUGCGCAGAUAUCAGGAGGAACACCGGUGGCGAAGGCGGUUCUCUGGGCAUGUCCUGACGCUGA